AAGAAUUUAAGUUAUAUAAACUUUUGACCUUCAAAGUCAAAUAAAGAAAUUUUUCUAAUUCUU
RNAcentral lists this transfer RNA (63 nucleotides) under Scolytinae sp. BMNH 1274713. RNAcentral describes it as "tRNA-Trp". The record is from RNAcentral. Lineage: Eukaryota; Metazoa; Arthropoda; Insecta; Coleoptera; Curculionidae.